Long non-coding RNA from Dermacentor silvarum, 394 nucleotides. RefSeq lists it as uncharacterized. The record is from RefSeq and is a predicted model, not a curated record. The transcript has 3 exons. NCBI's taxonomy places the organism in Eukaryota, Metazoa, Arthropoda, Arachnida, Ixodida, Ixodidae.
ACAUAAGGGGUACAAUGGUGAAGAUGACUAUAAGCGAGGUACUUGCCAAGGUGAAAAAAUGUAUAUAUACCGAACUUCUUCCGGGCUGUACCGAUGUGUCACAAGGAAGAAAUGGCCAAAAGACUCAACGUGGAGAUCAUGUUGGCUAUGCUUUCACAUGUCGGAAGGGCACAAAUACUCACUACGGAUUUUUCGCGGUGGGCACUCGGUGUAAGCAUCUCGUCGAAGGAGAAACAUAUGUAAAUGGUACGUUCGUACAAGAGAACAGUGACAAAGUCCUUUGCAAGCAAAGCCAACUUCCCCCAGCCUGUCAAUACAUCAAGUUCUGAAAGUUCAUCAACGUGGAAGAUCCAAUGCUGCAAAUCGCUCCUGCGAAUAAACGCCUAGAACUGUC